RNAcentral lists this ribosomal RNA (487 nucleotides) under uncultured bacterium. RNAcentral describes it as "bacterial SSU rRNA". It matches the Rfam family "Bacterial small subunit ribosomal RNA", at positions 31 to 507 of the family's 1533-position model. The record is from RNAcentral.
GAACGCUAGCUACAGGCUUAACACAUGCAAGUCGAGGGGCAGCAUGAUUGAAGCUUGCUUCAAUUGAUGGCGACCGGCGCACGGGUGAGUAACACGUAUCCAACCUUCCGUACACUCAGGGAUAGCCUUUCGAAAGAAAGAUUAAUACCUGAUGGUAUCUUAAGCACACAUAUAAUUAAGAUUAAAGAUUUAUCGCCGAAAGAACGGCCCGCGGAAGAUUAGGUAGUUGGUGGGGUAACGGCCUACCAAGCCGACGAUCUAUAGCUGGUCUGAGAGGACGAUCAGCCACAUUGGAACUGAGACACGGUCCAAACUCCUACGGGAGGCAGCAGUGAGGAAUAUUGGUCAAUGGGCGAGAGCCUGAACCAGCCAAGUAGCGUGAAGGAUGACUGCCCUAUGGGUUGUAAACUUCUUUUAUAAAGGAAUAAAGUCGGGUAUGUAUACCCGUUUGCAUGUACUUUAUGAAUAAGGAUCGGCUAACUCCGUG